This 952-nucleotide long non-coding RNA is filed under the name Homo sapiens (human). RNAcentral describes it as "HSALNT0101788". The record is from RNAcentral. Lineage: Eukaryota; Metazoa; Chordata; Mammalia; Primates; Hominidae.
UACAGAUUAUGAUACAGAAUAGAGAAGAGGAGCAAAUGCAAAGAUGAUUCCUUUGACAAGAUGAAAAACGGUACUCUAAUACACCUGCUUUGUGCUGCUACCACAAACAUGAGGAAACUUCUGUUAGGAGUUCAACCUUCAGAGAGGACAGCUGGCAGUGCAAGAUGGUGACAGCCCUGCAAUCAGGAGAAGAAAGUCAUGAGAGUAAGGAAUGAUGGAGAGGGAUGAGAGCGUUUUCUAGGAUUUGAAGAGUUAAGAGACUCUGAAUAAUUGGCAGGGGAAGCUGGGAUGGAGAACAAAGUAGGAGAAGAAUCAUUUGCUGUGAACUCUGUAUUUGGAUUCCAUUUUUGAUGAUCUUUGAAAAUGGGAAUAAAGGAUUUGGGUUAUUUUUAAAUUCCUUUGGAGGCUAGACAGUUUCCCUAAAUUCAGCAUUCCCUUUGAAACUAGACCGCAUGAGUCUCUGGUUUGUGCAGGGUUACCCUGGGUCAGAGUUGCCUCUAGAAUAAGCAAUGGGUAAGUCCUUGAGCUGUUGGAAGCGCAUGGAGUGCCUGACAGUCUUCUGCACAUUAGGCAUAGGGGACCCUUUUGGGGGAAGAGGAUGAAGAAUAGGAGGGGUGAUGGGAGCAUGUUGGGUUGUGCCAGUUUAAAGAGAACGUGAAAAAGAUAAGCAAGCAAAUGAGGCUGCAAAAGAGGAAUCAUGGGAGAAUGAGGAAAAUUAAGUGAUCAUAGCAUCCCUGAGGUCAAAAGAGCAGGGGUUUCAGGGAGAGUGCCAGGGCAUUAGUUAAUACAAAGAAGAGACCACUGGCUUUGCACCCUGGAGGUCAAUGCUAUCCUCUUCCUAAUCCAUUACUAUAGAGUGAUGGGGACCAGCGUUUGUGUAUUGAGGAGAUAAUGAGAAGUGUAAAUGGAAAACAACCAGAAGAUAACAAGGAUAAACAACUCUUUCAAAAAU